UUGCGGACGGGUGAGUAACGCGUGGGGAACCUGCCCUGUACAGGGGGAUAACACUUAGAAAUAGGUGCUAAUACCGCAUAAGCGCACAGUAUCGCAUGAUACAGUGUGAAAAACUCCGGUGGUACAGGAUGGACCCGCGUCUGAUUAGCUGGUUGGCGGGGUAACGGCCCACCAAGGCGACGAUCAGUAGCCGGCCUGAGAGGGUGAACGGCCACAUUGGGACUGAGACACGGCCCAAACUCCUACGGAAGGCAGCAG
This 258-nucleotide ribosomal RNA is filed under the name uncultured bacterium. Its description in RNAcentral is "partial 16S ribosomal RNA". It matches the Rfam family "Bacterial small subunit ribosomal RNA", at positions 96 to 354 of the family's 1533-position model. The record is from RNAcentral.